This 492-nucleotide ribosomal RNA is filed under the name uncultured bacterium. RNAcentral describes it as "partial 16S ribosomal RNA". It matches the Rfam family "Bacterial small subunit ribosomal RNA", at positions 29 to 507 of the family's 1533-position model. The record is from RNAcentral.
AGUGAACGCUGGCGGUAGGCCUAACACAUGCAAGUCGAACGGCCGCACAGUAAGAUCUUGCCCUUACGGGUGGCGAGUGGCGGACGGGUGACGAAUACAUCGGCAUCUACUUUUUCGUGGGUGAUAACGUAGGGAAACUUACGCUAAUACCGCAUACGACCUACGGGUGAAAGCAGUGGAUCUUCGGACCUUGCGCGAUUGAAUGAGCCGAUGUCGGAUUAGCUAGUUGGCGAGGUAAAGGCCCACCAAGGCGACGAUCCGUAGCUGGUCUGAGAGGAUGAUCAGCCACACUGGAACUGAGACACGGUCCAGACUCCUACGGGAGGCAGCAGUGGGGAAUAUUGGACAAUGGGCGAAAGCCUGACCCAGCAAUACCGCGUGAGUGAAGAAGGCCUUCGGGUUGUAAAACCCUUUUGUUGGGAAAGAAAAGCAGCAGGUGAAUACCCCGAUGUUCUGACGGUACCCAAAGAAUAAGCACCGGCUAACUUCGUG